Molecule: long non-coding RNA, 629 nt
Organism: Triticum dicoccoides
Lineage: Eukaryota; Viridiplantae; Streptophyta; Magnoliopsida; Poales; Poaceae
Exons: 3
Source: RefSeq, a predicted model, not a curated record
CCGCUUACCCUGCAGGCGCGCCCGCUCGCCGUCUUCGACCGCUUCGAGGUCGACCCCCCUGCGGGCAAGCUCGAUCGGGAAUUGCAGCGCCGCCUCGCGAUCGCGCUGACAGUUCGUCUUGGUCUGCGCUGCCUUUUCCCCUUCCAUCCGAGCACAUUGCUCACUUCAGACUCCUGUCUGGUCGUCUCCACAAGAACACAUCCGCAAAUCUACCGGGCCGGCUUACGACAGGCUCCAGCCACGCCGCUACCACCCUCAUCGCCGGCCCCUCCCCGCCUCCUCCUUGUUCCCACCAAAAGAACUUCUGGAGCCAGCAUCCGCUGAUUUGCAGAGGGCUCACCCGCCGGGGCCAGCGACCAAGGUUGCUAACUUCAGAACUUCUCGUAAACAAAGAUUCGUUUGCAAAAUGCCUUGUCCCAGCCAACAGUCUGCUAAAGGAAAAGAAGUGGUAAAUGAACAUAACAACACAAAGAGCGCUCCAACAGGCUUGGUAAUACAUGAGCCAUCCAACUCAAGAACCUUGAGUGGAACAUCCUCAGAUGAUGAAGAUGUUCUAAACGAGUUAGCUGCAAGUUUUCCUACUCACAGUAUCCUCACAUCGAUCAAAGGCUUUGAACAAGGAGAGAGCU